RNAcentral lists this transfer RNA (72 nucleotides) under Camelus bactrianus (Bactrian camel). It matches the Rfam family "tRNA". From Rfam's summary of the family: Transfer RNA (tRNA) molecules are approximately 80 nucleotides in length. The record is from Rfam by way of RNAcentral. Lineage: Eukaryota; Metazoa; Chordata; Mammalia; Artiodactyla; Camelidae. RNAcentral also lists the same sequence under 2 other names.
GAGGGUAUAGCUCAGUGAUAGAGCGUGUGCUUAGCAUGCAUGCAGUCUUGGGUUCAAUCCCCAGUACCUCCA